This is a non-coding RNA of Mus caroli (Ryukyu mouse), 774 nucleotides long. Lineage: Eukaryota; Metazoa; Chordata; Mammalia; Rodentia; Muridae. The record is from RefSeq and is a predicted model, not a curated record.
CUCUCUCUCUCUCUCUCUCUCUCUCUCUCUCUCUCUCUCUAAAAAAAAAGCCAAAUACUGUUUAUGACUAUUAUAGCUUCUCUUUCCAUCUCAGACAUGCCCUAAAACCAUUUUUUUUCCUUUUGCAUCUUCUUUUAGGUUCUUUAUAGCAUGAUAGAGUUUCAGGAUAUUUACUCUGCCAAUAUUGUCGGAAAAGGAAAUCUCUGCCUCCUCUUCACCUUCCUGUCACCAAGCUUUGCCCUGAGCGGUUUACGGAAUCGACUGUUGUUAAGGUCACCGCUGACAUCAUCACUUCUAAGUAAAACUGUCUUCAAAUUCACUCUACAGCCCCAACACCAGGCAUGAGAAAAACCCUUUUGAGUUGCUGCUCAGGGUUGUCCUACAGUGAUUUUGAAUCAUACAAUCAACUGUUGUGAACUUCUGUCAUCCUGCUAUGUUGUAGAAGACCUGAAGUUACUCCCAUUAUCUGUCUGUUACUACCCAAUAGCCAGUCCAACUCUGCGGCCAUUUCCAGCAUCUGAGGGAUCAGCCUUGGAGGUUUGCACACAUGGAUGCUCUCUAUAUUCUAUAAUGUCCUCCAGACACACCGUUUUGAGGCAAAUACUAAUAUUCCAUUCUUUUAUGAGUAAAUUAUAUCCAACAUAUGGUUAAUCCAUUUUCUUUAUAGUAACUAUUAAAAUUUUUUAGGAAAUCUUGUUCCUAAAAAUUUUCAGGAAAAAGAUUGACCAAAACUAUCAUCUUCAUUCUCCAUUCCAAAAAAAAAAAAAAAAAAAA